RNAcentral lists this ribosomal RNA (1343 nucleotides) under uncultured bacterium. RNAcentral describes it as "16S ribosomal RNA". It matches the Rfam family "Bacterial small subunit ribosomal RNA", at positions 28 to 1378 of the family's 1533-position model. The record is from RNAcentral.
GACGAACGCUGUCGGCGUGCUUAACACAUGCAAGUCGAACGGAAAGGCCCUGCUUUUGUGGGGUGCUCGAGUGGCGAACGGGUGAGUAACACGUGAGUAACCUGCCCUUGACUUUGGGAUAACUACAGGAAACUGGGGCUAAUACCGGAUAGGAGCUCCUGCUGCAUGGUGGGGGUUGGAAAGUUUCGGCGGUUGGGGAUGGACUCGCGGCUUAUCAGCUUGUUGGUGGGGUAGUGGCUUACCAAGGCUUUGACGGGUAGCCGGCCUGAGAGGGUGACCGGCCACAUUGGGACUGAGAUACGGCCCAGACUCCUACGGGAGGCAGCAGUGGGGAAUAUUGCACAAUGGGCGGAAGCCUGAUGCAGCAACGCCGCGUGCGGGAUGACGGCCUUCGGGUUGUAAACCGCUUUCGCCUGUGACGAAGCGUGAGUGACGGUAAUGGGUAAAGAAGCACCGGCUAACUACGUGCCAGCAGCCGCGGUGAUACGUAGGGUGCGAGCGUUGUCCGGAUUUAUUGGGCGUAAAGGGCUCGUAGGUGGUUGAUCGCGUCGGAAGUGUAAUCUUGGGGCUUAACCCUGAGCGUGCUUUCGAUACGGGUUGACUUGAGGAAGGUAGGGGAGAAUGGAAUUCCUGGUGGAGCGGUGGAAUGCGCAGAUAUCAGGAGGAACACCAGUGGCGAAGGCGGUUCUCUGGGCCUUUCCUGACGCUGAGGAGCGAAAGCGUGGGGAGCGAACAGGCUUAGAUACCCUGGUAGUCCACGCUGUAAACGGUGGGUACUAGGUGUGGGGUCCAUUCCACGGGUUCCGUGCCGUAGCUAACGCUUUAAGUACCCCGCCUGGGGAGUACGGCCGCAAGGCUAAAACUCAAAGGAAUUGACGGGGCCCCGCACAAGCGGCGGAGCAUGCGGAUUAAUUCGAUGCAACGCGUAGAACCUUACCUGGGUUUGACAUGGAUCGGGAGCGCUCAGAGAUGGGUGUGCCUCUUUUGGGGUCGGUUCACAGGUGGUGCAUGGCUGUCGUCAGCUCGUGUCGUGAGAUGUUGGGUUAAGUCCCGCAACGAGCGCAACCCUUGUUCACUGUUGCCAGCACGUUAUGGUGGGGACUCAGUGGAGACCGCCGGGGUCAACUCGGAGGAAGGUGGGGAUGACGUCAAGUCAUCAUGCCCCUUAUGUCCAGGGCUUCACGCAUGCUACAAUGGCUAGUACAGAGAGUGGCGAGCCUGUGAGGGUGAGCGAAUCCCGGAAAGCCGGUCUCAGUUCGGAUUGGGGUCUGCAACUCGACCUCAUGAAGUCGGAGUCGCUAGUAAUCGCAGAUCAGCAACGCUGCGGUGAAUACGUUCCCGGG